CGAACCUGUUUCUAAACAGAGCAUUAUCUGGAAAGAAACGAACAAAGAACGUGGAUUAAAGAAUCUUAUCGCGCCAGGCGAAUGGUUAAUCUAUUUCUUUUGAGCUACGUAACGGCAGAUAGCAUGUUAUCGCAUACGCGAAACUUCAACAUAAAAUUUACACAAAUGGAACAGAAUAGCUGAUAUUGAAUUAUUUCAAUAAUUGAGAAACUUUUGCGAACCUGAUCAUCCGCUAGGACACCGGAAACUGGAUACAUCCCACCGGAGAGUGCUUUCCCCAAAAUGAGAAUAUCCGGCCUGCAGCCUUCGUGAUCAACUGCCAGACGCAUACCAGUUCUGCUAAGACCAGUCUGUACUUCAUCGGCGAUCCAUAGAACAUUAUACUUUGUGCACAGUUCUCUCACACGUUUCAAAUAACCAUCCUAAACACAAAGCGGAAGAAUUGUACGCCGUUAGCGAAAAAAUUAUAUCACUAAUUCUGUAUAAUAUUGUAUAAUACAAAGGAAGAAUAUUCUGCGCGAGUUUCUAAGACGGCACAACGACGCCGGCUUCGCCUUGAAUGGGUUCCAUCAUGAACGCGCAGAUAUUGGGAUUCUCUUGAAACUUUUGUUCUAGAACAACGAGGUCAUUGUACGGCACUUUUUCGAAAAGGGGCACAUACGGACCAAAAUCUGUGUAACAGUUUGGAUCUGUCGAGGCAGAUAAGGCUGCUAUUGAACGGCCCCAAAAGUUUCCUGCGGCAAACACAACAGUAGCCUUGCCAUUAGGCACCUUUUUCACUCUAUAUCCCCAGCGUCUGGCCAAUUUUACGGCCGUAUCACCACCUUCGACACCUGUAAAAAGAGACUAGAUGCUCCAAAUAUUCCAUUUUUUAUAAAGAAGCUUAAAUUUGUAUCGCAAAUGGUAUUAAACACUUUUUUUUGACAAUUACCGCGAGAUACUGAAA
Solenopsis invicta (red fire ant) is the source of this 946-nucleotide long non-coding RNA. RefSeq lists it as uncharacterized. The record is from RefSeq and is a predicted model, not a curated record. Lineage: Eukaryota; Metazoa; Arthropoda; Insecta; Hymenoptera; Formicidae. The transcript has 3 exons.